CCUACGGGAGGCUGCAGUGGGGAAUAUUGCGCAAUGGGCGAAAGCCUGACGCAGCGACGCCGCGUGAGGGAUGAAGGUCUUCGGAUCGUAAACCCCUGUCAGCAGGGAAGAACGGUCACUGUGCUAAUCAGCAGUGAAUUGACGGUACCUGCAAAGGAAGCACCGGCUAAUUCCGUGCCAGCCGCCGCGGUAAUACGGAGGGUCCGUGCGUUAAUCGGUAUUACUGGGCGUAAAGCGCUCGUAGGCGGUAUGUCAAGUCAAGGGUGAAAUCCCCGCGCUCAACGUGGGAACUGCCUUUGAAACUGGCAGACUGGAGUGUGUGAGAGGAUAGUGGAAGUCGAGGUGUAGGAGUGAAAUCCGUAGAUAUCUGGAGGAACAUCAGUGGCGAAGGCGACUAUCUGGCACAUAACUGACGCUGAGGAGCGAAAGCGUGGGUAGCAAACAGGAUUAGAUACCCUUGUAGUC
Molecule: ribosomal RNA, 465 nt
Filed under: uncultured bacterium
Lineage: Bacteria
Description: partial 16S ribosomal RNA
Rfam family: Bacterial small subunit ribosomal RNA
Source: RNAcentral